This is a long non-coding RNA of Tarenaya hassleriana, 761 nucleotides long. RefSeq lists it as uncharacterized. The record is from RefSeq and is a predicted model, not a curated record. NCBI's taxonomy places the organism in Eukaryota, Viridiplantae, Streptophyta, Magnoliopsida, Brassicales, Cleomaceae. The transcript is spliced from 2 exons.
CCGAUGAAGCUCAAAAGGCUAUAACUGAGAUGAACGGAAAGCAACUAAACGGGCGGGUUAUAUUCGUCGGCUAUGCUAAGCCGAAGCAAAGUUUCAGAAGCGGGAUGCCGAUCGCAAGAGGACCACCUCACCCCGUGGUGGCAGCUGACAAUGACAAUGACAAUAAAGAUGACAAUGACGACGAAAUCACAAACAAACAGGCAAGAGAAUUGGAGUGAGGUUAGAGUAUUAUGGCAGUGAAACCUCGAAACCCUUAAGGCCGUAGAACUAUACUACACCCUUUUCGCCAUUUCUUGCGAGCGAUUAACGGUUGUAGAUUCUUAUGAACCGCGAUUUCGGAAUGCAAGAAGGAUGAGUAGUUUAGUUGUGUCCGCCAUGCAAAGGAACCAGUAUCCAAUCCUUUUGGGGACAUGACAUUGUUGUUCAGUCUUUGUUCCUUCUUCUCCCUACUGUCUUCCCAAUGUGAAUUAAUCACCUUUUUUUUUGGGGAUAUCCAUAAAAAAGAUGGUGAAAUUAGGGCUUUUCCACUUUUCAAGGGAAUGCUAACCGACGGGAUGGAGAUUGAAGAAAGAGCAUAUGAUAUAAUAAACACUUUUCGAUUAGUUCUAUAAUCUCCCUUGUGUUCGGUUGUUUCUUUGUUUCACUAAGUGUCCUGUGUUGAAGACCAAGACUUGGGACACUAACUAAAAAUAAACAAAAAAGUUUUUUUUUCUUUAUCUCAGUAUGUAAUUUAAAACUGAUAUAAAUUUAUGGAUUAUUUA